Molecule: ribosomal RNA, 1905 nt
Filed under: Triticum aestivum (bread wheat)
Lineage: Eukaryota; Viridiplantae; Streptophyta; Magnoliopsida; Poales; Poaceae
Description: partial small subunit ribosomal RNA
Source: RNAcentral
AUGGGCGACGACCUGCGGCUGGACUUCGACAAGCUCCCCAUCAAGCGCCUCGAGGCCAUCGACGAGGCCGGCAACGAGCACUACCCGCCGGACGGCAGCAGCGAGGCACAGCGGCUGGCGGCGAUCCGCCGCAUCGACUUCUCCUGGGUCGUCGAGCGGGACGCCAAGAAGGCCAAGAAGGCGGCGGCCGAUGACGCCGCCCGCAAGGCCUGGCCAUGGCAGGGCCUCCACGAGAGCCUGCAGCUGGCGCAGCAGGAGCUCACCGUCAUCCUCGACCUCAUCUCCACGGUCGAGGCGAACGACACCGUGGCCGUGGCGGCGACCAUCUCCAAGCCCAAGCCGCUGCCGGACGAAGUCCUCGCCGACAUGGCCGUCUCCGCCGCCACCAAGCUCCAGCGCCUUCGGCAUCUGGGACGGUACUUCAAGCAAUCGGCCAAAACGAUGGGGCAGCAGUUCCAGAAGGAGGCUAGGUUCUACGGCUCAUUGAUCAGGUUGCAACAGAACUGGAAAGUUAAGAGGCAGCUUGGGAAUGCUCCAGGAAGCAACAGCUUCAUGUUUGAUGUAGUUGACACUUCUCAGUUGGACACGGCUGAGAUGCCCCGAUUGUCGUCAUUGUCUUUGGUUCCAAUCGAUCAGGACUCGUCAGGUACUUUGUCUGUACAAAUCCCACAAAAGUCAUGCCGUUUCUUGAGCCUUCAAUUUCAUGGGGACAGUGCAAGCGGCGUGGAAAGCUACACUUGCAAAACGAAAGGUGUCUCAAGCACCACUUGUUCUGCAGCUGAAGAUGAUGCCUCGGAGAAUGAUGAUGUCAAUAAGUCUGUCAAACAGGCGCAUUCCAUUCUCCGCAAUAUCCACAAGUCAAUAUUUGAGGAGCAGGUAUUUGAUAUGGUGAUCCGUGAGACAUUUGUCCAAACUCAAGGCGUCAACGUAACUGGAAUGUGUGAGGAUUUUCUCCAAUUAGCCAUUGGCCAGGAGAGUUUGUUGUGCCUUUCGCUUGCGAAUUCUGGACAGGACAGUGACUCGGAAAUGGCGGGCCAUGAAGAGCACACUAAUUCAGAGGCGAAUCUUGUGUUAGCCACCACCAAUGGGAAGCAGGAGCCUUUAAAAGCAACCCCUCAGGGUUUCUUAACCCGAAAAGUCUGGAGAUUUACCUGCUACAUAUGUUCCAUGACAACAUUCUUAAGAAAGUCAGGGAGAAAUAUCGUAAUAUUGUUCGCAACCAGAGUCCUGCUCACACUGCAGAGCCUGCAGGUUAGCAGGGUUCCGUAUCUCCAUCUGCAGUCCCUUCCUACGUGGCAUUCUCGAACUUCUUCCUGGUCUAUCUGCCUAAGAGUUCCGCAGCCUAUUUUAGCUGCUGACCGACUCACGAAGCCUUCGGACAAUGGUGAGCCUAAAUACAAAUCUUCCAGGAGACAGUUCAACACGAAGAUUGUCUUGAAGGAUGGCCAGAUAAGUUUGUUGGGCGAAGGUUCUCCGAGCAUUGCUGGAUCAUUGACCAGGAAGCCCUCAGAUGGGUAUCUGAUAAACAGUUACAGCUGUGACUUGGAGGACCUCCCUACGAUGGUUCUGCAGCAGGUGGCGAGCCAGGUGAUAAACUGGCUCCACGAGGAGGCGCAGGUCCUGGGGAUGAGUGUGACGAGGGACUUUUUAGGCCUCUACUUUGACCUGGACCACGGCGACACGACACUGGGCCUGGUGGGGCACAUCGACCCGGAUGAUGCUUAUGGGUGCGUGUCGUGGUACCUGACGGUGGACCACCUGGCGGAGGAGGACGGGAAGGCGCCGGCGACGGACGACCCGUGGGCGGAGGAGAAGUGCAGGUUCCUUGGGUACCUAUCCCUGGAGGUGCUCCACUCCACCCUCAUGGACCUCAUCAACCUGUGUGGCACCGCGCCCACCCGCUGA